CAGUCGCCACGGUAAUACGAAGGGGGCUAGCGUUGCUCGGAAUGACUGGGCGUAAAGGGCGCGUAGGCGGCGAUCAAAGUCAGGCGUGAAAUUCCUGGGCUCAACCUGGGGGCUGCGUUUGAUACUUGGUUGCUAGAGUGAGGAAGAGGGUCGUGGAAUUCCCAGUGUAGAGGUGAAAUUCGUAGAUACUGGGAAGAACACCGGUGGCGAAGGCGGCGACCUGGUCCUUGACUGACGCUGAGGCGCGAAAGCGUGGGGAGCAAACAGGAUUAGAGACCCGCGUAGUCCCUGUCUCUUAUAC
This 301-nucleotide ribosomal RNA is filed under the name uncultured bacterium. RNAcentral's name for it is "partial 16S ribosomal RNA". It matches the Rfam family "Bacterial small subunit ribosomal RNA", at positions 509 to 807 of the family's 1533-position model. The record is from RNAcentral.